GACAGAGGUGCCAAGCGUUAGGCGGAAUCACUGGGCUUAAAGCGUGUGUAGGCGGAUCGUUAAGUACCUUGUGAAAUCCCACGGCUCAACCGUGGAACUGCUGGGUAUACUGGCGGUCUUGAGCCACCUAGGGGCGAGCGGAACAAGCGGUGGAGCGGUGAAAUGCGUAGAUAUCGCUUGGAACGCCAACGGUGAAAACAGCUCGCUGGGGGGUGUGCUGACGCUGAGACACGAAAGCGUGGGGAGCAAACAGG
RNAcentral lists this ribosomal RNA (254 nucleotides) under uncultured bacterium. Its description in RNAcentral is "partial 16S ribosomal RNA". It matches the Rfam family "Bacterial small subunit ribosomal RNA", at positions 524 to 776 of the family's 1533-position model. The record is from RNAcentral.